AUACGGAGGAUCCGAGCGUUAUCCGGAUUUAUUGGGUUUAAAGGGUGCGUAGGUGGUUUGAUAAGUCAGCGGUGAAAGUUUGCAGCUUAACUGUAAAAAUGCCGUUGAAACUGUCGGACUUGAGUGUAAAUGAGGUAGGCGGAAUGCGUGGUGUAGCGGUGAAAUGCAUAGAUAUCACGCAGAACCCCGAUUGCGAAGGCAGCUUACUAAGCUACAACUGACACUGAAGCACGAAAGCGUGGGGAUCAAACAGGAUUAGAUACCCUGGUAGUCCACGCAGUAAACGAUGAUUACUAGCUGUUUGCGAUACACAGUAAGCGGCACAGCGAAAGCGUUAAGUAAUCCACCUGGGGAGUACGCCGGCAACGGUGAAACUCAAAUGAAUUGACGGGG
Molecule: ribosomal RNA, 393 nt
Filed under: uncultured bacterium
Lineage: Bacteria
Description: partial 16S ribosomal RNA
Rfam family: Bacterial small subunit ribosomal RNA
Source: RNAcentral